AACGAACGCUGGCGGCAGGCCUAACACAUGCAAGUCGAGCGGACCUUUCGGGGUCAGCGGCGGACGGGUGAGUAACGCGUGGGAAUAUGCCCUUCUCUACGGAAUAGUCCUGGGAAACUGGGGGUAAUACCGUAUACGCCCUUUGGGGGAAAGAUUUAUCGGGGAAGGAUUAGCCCGCGUUGGAUUAGGUAGUUGGUGGGGUAAUGGCCUACCAAGCCGACGAUCCAUAGCUGGUUUGAGAGGAUGAUCAGCCACACUGGGACUGAGACACGGCCCAGACUACUACGGGAGGCAGCAGUGGGGAAUCUUAGAAAAUGGGGGCAACCCUGAUCUAGCCAUGCCGCGUGAGUGAUGAAGGCCUUAGGGUUGUAAAGCUCUUUCAGCUGGGAAGAUAAUGACGGUACCAGCAGAAGAAGCCCCGGCUAACUCCGUG
RNAcentral lists this ribosomal RNA (433 nucleotides) under uncultured bacterium. RNAcentral describes it as "partial 16S ribosomal RNA". It matches the Rfam family "Bacterial small subunit ribosomal RNA", at positions 29 to 507 of the family's 1533-position model. The record is from RNAcentral.